GACCGGGCCCUGUGCAAUAGGAACCUAUGAACCCCGCCAGGUCCGGAAGGAAGCAACGGUAAAUGGGCCCUCCUAUGUGCCGCAGGUUCACCUGGUCUCU
RNAcentral lists this signal recognition particle RNA (100 nucleotides) under Nitrospirota bacterium. Its description in RNAcentral is "Nitrospirae bacterium (groundwater metagenome) signal recognition particle sRNA small type". It matches the Rfam family "Bacterial small signal recognition particle RNA". Rfam says of the family: The signal recognition particle (SRP) is a universally conserved ribonucleoprotein involved in the co-translational targeting of proteins to membranes. Archaeal SRP consists of a 7S RNA and homologues of the eukaryotic SRP19 and SRP54 proteins. In most bacteria, the SRP consists of a 4.5S RNA and the Ffh protein (a homologue of the eukaryotic SRP54 protein). Lineage: Bacteria; Pseudomonadati; Nitrospirota. The record is from RNAcentral.